UGUCAAUCGUUUCCCCAAAAUAACUUUCUGAUACACAAUUGCCAACAAACUGUUUGUUAAAAACCCGGUUGAUUGAUCCGUUGCAUUUCUGCUUGCGUACGCUGGUGAUUGCAUUAAUCGGCACAUUUUUACUAAAUGGCAGACAUCAAACAGCGUCAAGCUACGCACAAAAAGCUUAUUCAAGCACAAAAAUUUUUCCAGGGCGAUAAGCCGAGACACAAACCAACAGCGUCAAGCUACGCACAAAAAGCCUGUUCAAGCACCAAAAAUUCAGACACAAGAAGCGACAUCUAGUAUUUAUCUAAGGAACUAAAAAAAUACAUAAUUUUUUUCUAGCAUUUCUGUACGUAGCAGAGGCACAAACCAAUUUUUUGAGUUUUAAAAGCACCAUCUAGUAACCCAGCUACGCACAAAAAGCCGCUUCAAGCACAAAAAUCCAAUUCAAGCGAAAAAUUGUAAUCAUUAUCGUCAAAAAUAACUUAGAUUGCCAUUAAAUAAAAUUUAAUUAAUUAUGGUAACUCUAAACUAUUAAAA
This is a long non-coding RNA of Wyeomyia smithii (pitcher-plant mosquito), 534 nucleotides long. RefSeq lists it as uncharacterized. The transcript is spliced from 2 exons. Lineage: Eukaryota; Metazoa; Arthropoda; Insecta; Diptera; Culicidae. The record is from RefSeq and is a predicted model, not a curated record.